Nycticebus coucang (slow loris) is the source of this 1389-nucleotide RNA transcript. It is a transcript of the gene named V-type proton ATPase subunit d 1-like, with no coding region annotated. The record is from RefSeq and is a predicted model, not a curated record. Lineage: Eukaryota; Metazoa; Chordata; Mammalia; Primates; Lorisidae. The transcript has a single exon.
GGAACUGUAUUAAAGGCUCACAGCAUGGGCGCAAUGUCAGCUGAUUGUGGAGUUGCUUUGUGUGCGAGCUGGUUGGGGUUCCACUGUCCCGCCAUCCACGCCGCAGCCAUGUCAUUCUUCCUGAAGCUUUACUACAAUGUGGACAGUGGCUACUUGGAGGGACUGGUGUGUGGCCUGAAAGCUAGGGUGCUCAGCCAGGCAGACUACCUCAACCUGGCACAGUGCAAGACACUCGAAGACUUGAAACUGCACCUGCAGAGCACUGACUACAGCAACUUCCUGGCCAACAAGGCUUCACCUCUGACAGUGUCAGUCCUUGAUGACCGUCUUAAGGAGAAGAUGGUGGUGGAGUUCUGCCACACAAGGAACUAUGCCUAUGAACCACUCGCCAGCUUCCUGGACUUCAUUACUUACAGCUACAUGAUCAACAAUGUGAUCCUGCUCAUCACAGGCAUGCUACACCAGUGCUCCAUCGCUGAACUCGUGCCCAAAUGUCACCCGCUAGGCAGCUUUAAGCAGCUGGAGGCUGUGAACAUUGCUCAGAAACCUGCUGAGCUCUGCAAUGCCAUUUUGGUGGACACGCCCUUGGCAGAUUUUUUUCCAGGAUUGCAUUUCAGAGCAGGACCUUGAUGAGAUGAACAUCAAGAUUAUCUACCUGCAGUCCUUCUGUAAGUUCUGCUCCCCACUGGGUGGGACCACAGCCGACGCCAUGUGCCCCAUCCUGGGUAGGAAAGCUGCUCUUUGAGGGUGCAGGCAGCAACCCUGGAGACAAGACCCUAGAGGACCAAUUCUUUGAGCACAAAGUGAAGCUGAACAAGUUGGCCUUCCUGAACCAGUUCCACUUUGGUUUCUUCUAUGCCUUUGUGAAGCUCAAGGAACAGGAGUGUCGCAACAUCAUGUGGAUUGCUGAGUGGAUUGCCCAGCGCCACCACGCCAAGAUCAACAACUACAUCCCUAUCUUCUAGCAUUCUGUCCCGAGGCUCCCAAGUGCACUGUGUGUGUCUGUGUGGUCUGUGAUGAAGCCCAUGGCUCACCUGCCUGCCCUGAGGGGUAGCACACUGUCCUAGUGACUGCCCAGCUUCCCUGACCCUCUCUGAAACUGCUCUUAGGCCUGAAAAGGAGCUGGGCACCUGUUGCCCCCACCAAGGAUGGACCAAGAUCUUCUCCAGAGCAAGGAGGCCCCCCCUCAGCCCUAUGUUUACAGCUGCUGAUGUGUCUGAGAAGCAUGUGGUCACUUUCAGGUGCCUCCCUAACCUGAGAAUCCCUGGGGACAGUAUGAGCCUCCUCUUGUCUCUGUGGGUCACUCUCAGAGCUAGGCCCACGGGAAGGAUAGAGCGUGUGUAUCCUUAGGGUGGACGGAAGUAGCUCUGCCCCUCUGAGACAAUAAAA